This 80-nucleotide microRNA precursor is filed under the name Petromyzon marinus (sea lamprey). RNAcentral describes it as "microRNA pma-mir-199b precursor". Its record names the gene pma-mir-199b. It matches the Rfam family "mir-199 microRNA precursor family". From Rfam's summary of the family: This family consists of the microRNA (miRNA) precursor mir-199 which appears to be specific to humans. Animal miRNAs are transcribed as ~70nt precursors and subsequently processed by the Dicer enzyme to give a ~22nt product. The record is from miRBase by way of RNAcentral. Lineage: Eukaryota; Metazoa; Chordata; Hyperoartia; Petromyzontiformes; Petromyzontidae.
GCCUCGUCUGCCCAGUGUUCUGACUACCUGUUCACGUGACAAGCAAAUGUACAGUAGUCUGCACAUUGGUUAGACUGGGU